Molecule: ribosomal RNA, 497 nt
Filed under: uncultured bacterium
Lineage: Bacteria
Description: partial 16S ribosomal RNA
Rfam family: Bacterial small subunit ribosomal RNA
Source: RNAcentral
GACGAACGCUGGCGGCGUGCCUAAUACAUGCAAGUAGAACGCUGAAGAGAGGAGCUUGCUCUUCUUGGAUGAGUUGCGAACGGGUGAGUAACGCGUAGGUAACCUGCCUUGUAGCGGGGGAUAACUAUUGGAAACGAUAGCUAAUACCGCAUAACAAUGGAUGACACAUGUCAUUUAUUUGAAAGGGGCAAUUGCUCCACUACAAGAUGGACCUGCGUUGUAUUAGCUAGUAGGUGAGGUAAUGGCUCACCUAGGCGACGAUACAUAGCCGACCUGAGAGGGUGAUCGGCCACGCUGGGACUGAGGCACGGCCCAGCCUCCUACGGGAGGCAGCCGUAGGGAAUCUUCGGCAAUGGGGGCAACCCUGAACGAGCGACGCCGCGUGAGUGAAGAAGGUUUUCGGAUCGUAAAGCUCUGUUGUAAGUCAAGAACGGGUGUGAGAGUGGAAAGUUCACACUGUGACGGUAGCUUACCAGAAAGGGACGGCUAACUACGUG